Molecule: transfer RNA, 73 nt
Filed under: Eubacteriales Family XIII. Incertae Sedis bacterium
Lineage: Bacteria; Bacillati; Bacillota; Clostridia; Peptostreptococcales; Anaerovoracaceae
Description: tRNA-Thr
Rfam family: tRNA
About the family: Transfer RNA (tRNA) molecules are approximately 80 nucleotides in length. Their secondary structure includes four short double-helical elements and three loops (D, anti-codon, and T loops).
Source: RNAcentral
GCCGCAUUAGCUCAUUUAGUAGAGCUACGGUCCUGUAAACCGUGGGUAAGGGGUGCAAUACCUCUAUGCGGCU